Molecule: ribosomal RNA, 435 nt
Filed under: Triticum aestivum (bread wheat)
Lineage: Eukaryota; Viridiplantae; Streptophyta; Magnoliopsida; Poales; Poaceae
Description: partial small subunit ribosomal RNA
Source: RNAcentral
AUGGAUGAGGCAAAUCUUUUGCCUCCGUUUCAAAAGAAAAAAGUACAUACAGCGUGUGAUGACUUACAAUCCGAGCCGUUCCAGAAAGCGUACAACGAAUUAGAGAAUAUAUGUAUAGAUAAUAAGCCGAGGCUAGAGUUUAGCAAGAGUCAGGCACAUUUCUUCCUCGGACCACGGAGGGGUCCAGCGAAGCACACUUUGCCCGCAAGGAUGAUACGCUUCAAACUGCUGGGACGCGGGGAGGACGAAGUCACGAUGCACAUAGCAGACGAUGACAUGUACCAUCUCGGGUACAGCAAGAAGGUGCAGACGUACCACUUGAAAGGGUGGGGGAGCUGUUUGCCAACUGUGAUCCUCCGGCAAUCGAGCUCCCCUUCGACGAGAAGUACAAAUCGAUCCUGCCAGCGAGGGGGUCUAGCGGUCACAGAGAACUAG